RNAcentral lists this ribosomal RNA (301 nucleotides) under uncultured bacterium. Its description in RNAcentral is "bacterial SSU rRNA". It matches the Rfam family "Bacterial small subunit ribosomal RNA", at positions 29 to 316 of the family's 1533-position model. The record is from RNAcentral.
AACGAACGCUGGCGGCGUGGAUAAGACAUGCAAGUCGAACGGGACAACAUCUGUAGCAAUACAGGUGUUGUUUAGUGGCGAACGGGUGCGUAACACGUGGGCAAUCUGCCGAGAAGUGGGGGAUAGCUCGCCGAAAGGCGAAUUAAUACCGCAUAUGAUCAGUGAAGACAUCUUCACGACAUCAAAGCCGGGGCAACCUGGCGCUUCUUGAUGAGCCCGCGGCCUAUCAGCUAGUUGGUGAGGUAACGCUCACCAAGGCUAUGACGGGUAGCUGGUCUGAGAGGACGACCAGUCACACUGG